AUACAAACACACAUUCUGAUUCAAAUAGGCAAACCUGUCCACUGGGUCACGUGGUUCCAGUUGGGCCCCCUUGCAUUCAAAACUGACCUUCCGGACAGCCUUGGGG
Gavialis gangeticus (Gharial) is the source of this 106-nucleotide long non-coding RNA. RefSeq lists it as uncharacterized. Lineage: Eukaryota; Metazoa; Chordata; Crocodylia; Gavialidae. The record is from RefSeq and is a predicted model, not a curated record. The transcript is spliced from 3 exons.